UGCGGGGUAGUGUAAUGGUAGCACAUCUCCCUCUGGAGGAGAUAGUUCUGGUUCGAGCCCAGACCCCGCAGCCA
This 74-nucleotide transfer RNA is filed under the name Candidatus Parcubacteria bacterium. RNAcentral describes it as "tRNA-Gln". It matches the Rfam family "tRNA". Rfam says of the family: Transfer RNA (tRNA) molecules are approximately 80 nucleotides in length. Their secondary structure includes four short double-helical elements and three loops (D, anti-codon, and T loops). Further hydrogen bonds mediate the characteristic L-shaped molecular structure. tRNAs have two regions of fundamental functional importance: the anti-codon, which is responsible for specific mRNA codon recognition, and the 3' end, to which the tRNAs corresponding amino acid is attached (by aminoacyl-tRNA synthetases). tRNAs cope with the degeneracy of the genetic code in two manners: having more than one tRNA (with a specific anti-codon) for a particular amino acid; and 'wobble' base-pairing, i.e. permitting non-standard base-pairing at the 3rd anti-codon position. Lineage: Bacteria; Candidatus Parcubacteria. The record is from RNAcentral. RNAcentral also lists the same sequence under 1 other name.